GGUAAUGCCGGAUGCUCCAUCACACCGCAUGGUGUGUUGGGAAAGCCUUUGCGGCAUGGGAUGGGGUCGCGUCCUAUCAGCUUGAUGGCGGGGUAACGGCCCACCAUGGCUUCGACGGGUAGCCGGCCUGAGAGGGCGACCGGCCACAUUGGGACUGAGAUACGGCCCAGACUCCUACGGGAGGCAGCAGUGGGGAAUAUUGCACAAUGGGCGCAAGCCUGAUGCAGCGACGCCGCGUGAGGGAUGGAGGCCUUCGGGUUGUAAACCUCUUUUGUUAGGGAGCAAGGCAUUUUGUGUUGAGUGUACCUUUCGAAUAAGCACCGGCUAACUACGUGCCAGCAGCCGCGGUAAUACGUAGGGUGCAAGCGUUAUCCGGAAUUAUUGGGCGUAAAGGGCUCGUAGGCGGUUCGUCGCGUCCGGUGUGAAAGUCCAUCGCUUAACGGUGGAUCCGCGCCGGGUACGGGCGGGCUUGAGUGCGGUAGGGGAGACUGGAAUUCCCGGUGUAACGGUGGAAUGUGUAGAUA
RNAcentral lists this ribosomal RNA (524 nucleotides) under Bifidobacterium breve. RNAcentral's name for it is "bacterial SSU rRNA". It matches the Rfam family "Bacterial small subunit ribosomal RNA", at positions 162 to 696 of the family's 1533-position model. The record is from RNAcentral. Lineage: Bacteria; Bacillati; Actinomycetota; Actinomycetes; Bifidobacteriales; Bifidobacteriaceae.